This 253-nucleotide ribosomal RNA is filed under the name uncultured bacterium. Its description in RNAcentral is "partial 16S ribosomal RNA". It matches the Rfam family "Bacterial small subunit ribosomal RNA", at positions 524 to 776 of the family's 1533-position model. The record is from RNAcentral.
UACGGAGGGUGCAAGCGUUAAUCGGAAUUAUUGGGCGUAAAGGGCGCGUAGGCGGAUUUAUAAGUCUGAUGUGAAAUACACUGGCUCAACCAGUGUGCUGCAAUAGAAACUAUAAGUCUUGAGGGUAGGCGGAGAAAACGGAAUUCCAAGUGUAGCGGUGAAAUGCGUAGAUAUUUGGAAGAACACCUGUGGCGAAAGCGGUUUUCUAGCUUAUUCCUGACGCUGAGGCGCGAGAGCAAGGGGAGCAAACAGG